RNAcentral lists this ribosomal RNA (434 nucleotides) under uncultured bacterium. Its description in RNAcentral is "bacterial SSU rRNA". It matches the Rfam family "Bacterial small subunit ribosomal RNA", at positions 28 to 444 of the family's 1533-position model. The record is from RNAcentral.
GAUGAACGCUGGCGGCGUGCUUAACACAUGCAAGUCGAACGAAGCACCUUGAUUCGAUUCUUCGGAUGAAGAUCUUGGUGACUGAGUGGCGGACGGGUGAGUAACGCGUGGGUAACCUGCCUCAUACAGGGGGAUAACAGUUAGAAAUGACUGCUAAUACCGCAUAAGACCACAGCACCGCAUGGUGCAGGGGUAAAAACUCCGGUGGUAUGAGAUGGACCCGCGUCUGAUUAGGUAGUUGGUGGGGUAACGGCCUACCAAGCCGACGAUCAGUAGCCGACCUGAGAGGGUGACCGGCCACAUUGGGACUGAGACACGGCCCAAACUCCUACGGGAGGCAGCAGUGGGGAAUAUUGCACAAUGGGGGAAACCCUGAUGCAGCGACGCCGCGUGAGCGAUGAAGUAUUUCGGUAUGUAAAGCUCUAUCAGCAGGG